UCGAGAGUGUCUUCUGAUGAAUGUGGUC
This 28-nucleotide non-coding RNA is filed under the name Mus musculus (house mouse). Lineage: Eukaryota; Metazoa; Chordata; Mammalia; Rodentia; Muridae. The record is from RNAcentral.